Molecule: long non-coding RNA, 1815 nt
Organism: Anopheles gambiae (African malaria mosquito)
Lineage: Eukaryota; Metazoa; Arthropoda; Insecta; Diptera; Culicidae
Exons: 2
Source: RefSeq, a predicted model, not a curated record
AUUUUAAUUCAUUGAAAUAUUUUAUGCUCUUAUUGAAUUUCCUUAAUGUUCUCAAUGCAUUUUGCCUUAAAUUUGUGCAAAAGAUACCUGUUUUAUAACAAAAAACUUAAAUGCAAAACUCUGUGGCGAUAUUUUUCAACCCUCGAACCAGUAGUGUAAACUAUUUUUCCAUAGGAAUCCGCUAUACGCGAAAAUUCGAGAUACGCUAUUGCGCUCGGUCCCGUACGAUAGCGUAUAUCGGAUAAUGACUGUAUAGAGAAUUCGGAGGGGGGAGGGGGCGGUAGAACAGAACGUAAGCGUGAGUCGUCGCGUGUGUGUGUGUGUGGUACGCUCGAGAACUCUUUUUUUAUAUUUCCUGGAACCCAUAUGUUCUACAUUUUUCUGACUCUAAGCAAUCAAAGUAAAACGGGAAGUAGAAGCUACUUCACGAGCUACUCUUUUCGCUACUUUUCAGCGUAGUCCCCCCCCCCCCCUGCGUAGCACGGAUCCCCCUAGAUCUCCGGGGCCUCUGGCAGCCGUCCAGAGCCGCUGGGUACAGCUGGGGCAGAUCCACGAGAAUUGCGACGCAUUAGUUCAAGCAUGGAACCUACACCAAGGCAUGGCAGGGCGCACGUAGGAAUCCACCAACACUGUUAAAAAUGGAAUCAUACGAUGCAGGUUUCCAAGUUGAGCAGGAAAACCUCAGAUGCAGCAAACACAAGACACCAUUGGCGUAGAAAGUAUACGAAAAACGUUGCACUGCGUAUCACAAGUACAGUAAGAUCACAAUAACUCGACACCGGGUUUGCAAGCGAUCAGGGAAGUACAACAACACAAAAAUCCGGCACAAACGCAAUGCCGAAAGUAAUGAGGGCCUUACGCACGAGCUGUCAAAAAGUUCUAUGAGCCUGGUGUUCAUAUAAUUGGUGAGUCAAUAAUCAAGCCAGUUUUGUAAUUCACCCCUAUAUAAACAUUAUUUAAUCAAUAUAAAGUAAAUCAAAUAAAUCAAAAAGGUAGAGCCAUACGAACUUAUCAUAGUACUGACUCGUUUCGCAUAAAGUCCUAAAUCAACCGUGGGAGAUUUUGAAACUCUUUCAACACAGAUAACAGUCCGUAUUACAUUAGUUUACAUUGCUCCAACAGAAAAUAUAAAGGCUCCUAAUGAUUUUUUUUUCUAAAUUGAUCGAACAAUAUUGCCACUAUGUCGUAUUAAAAUUAUGCAAAUUAUGACCAAAGGGUAAAUAACAGUUUUAUUUUUCACAUACCAUGGCUUCCAGUUAUCUGGUAGUGGAUGAAGUAAUCCUUGACGUGCAAGAUAUAUUAUGCUAGUCUCUUUUUCUGGGUCUAUGCCGAUUUUUACAGCAUAUUCAAUUAUUUCUGUCAUUUCAAUUUGUACGCCAUACCGAGACAGACAUUGGCAAGGAUAUGGAAAUAAAGAAACAAUACAUUUUAGAAUAUUUACAAUAAUACGCUAUUUUUAAAUGUGGUAAAAAAUACUAAGCAAUCCAAAAAUAUCUAUUUUUUAGCUAGCAUCCACAUUGGGUAUAUAAAAUUGUCUCCUACCUUCAUUGGUUGGUUCAUAAGUAGAAUAGAAUAUUUCUCCUUCCCCUUGCGUAGAUCCAAUGAUGUAUGAAGAAGUACUCAUGGUUAUAUCAACAUAUAACUAAAAUAUCGGCUCUUAACAAAUUACUUCAUCAAUUACAUCACUCUAUAUCAUGCUCAAUCAACUCAAACUAAAAACUUUAUUACUUGAGUCCUAUGAUUAUUCUAUAAAAUAGUUUGUCUAGUUGAUAUAAAACACGGCCACCAAAAACAAAUAGCGCAGAUGUAUGAAAA